RNAcentral lists this ribosomal RNA (496 nucleotides) under uncultured soil bacterium. Its description in RNAcentral is "bacterial SSU rRNA". It matches the Rfam family "Bacterial small subunit ribosomal RNA", at positions 26 to 517 of the family's 1533-position model. The record is from RNAcentral.
AGAUUGAACGCUAGCGGGAUGCCUUACACAUGCAAGUCGAACGGCAGCGCGGACUUCGGUCUGGCGGCGAGUGGCGAACGGGUGAGUAAUAUAUCGGAACGUGCCCAGUAGCGGGGGAUAACUACGCGAAAGCGUGGCUAAUACCGCAUACGCCCUACGGGGGAAAGGGGGGAUUCUUCGGAACCUCUCACUAUUGGAGCGGCCGAUAUCAGAUUAGCUAGUUGGUGAGGUAAAGGCUCACCAAGGCGACGAUCUGUAGCUGGUUUGAGAGGACGACCAGCCACACUGGGACUGAGACACGGCCCAGACUCCUACGGGAGGCAGCAGUGGGGAAUAUUGGACAAUGGGCGAAAGCCUGAUCCAGCCAUGCCGCGUGUGUGAAGAAGGUCUCGGAUUGUAAAGCACUUUAAGUUGGAGAAGGCAGUAAAUUAAUACUUUGACUGUUUUGACGUUUACGACAGAAUAAGCAACCGGCUAACUCUGUGCCAGCAAGCCG